RNAcentral lists this ribosomal RNA (489 nucleotides) under Triticum aestivum (bread wheat). Its description in RNAcentral is "partial small subunit ribosomal RNA". The record is from RNAcentral. Lineage: Eukaryota; Viridiplantae; Streptophyta; Magnoliopsida; Poales; Poaceae.
AUGAAGUGGCGCCAAGCUUCUGGCAUUCUCUGUGACAAGAGAGUGCCACAAAAGCUAAAAGGCAAGUUCUACAGGACGGCGGUUCGACCCGCAAUGUUGUAUGGCGCGGAGUGUUGGCCGACUAAAGGGCGACAUGUUCAACAGUUAGGUGUGGCGGAGAUGCGUAUGUUGAGAUGGAUGUGUGGCCACACGAGGAAGGAUCGAGUCCGGAAUGAUGAUAUACGAGAUAGAGUUGGGGUAGCACCAAUUGAGGAGAAGCUUGUCCAACAUCGUUUGAGAUGGUUUGGGCAUAUUCAGCGCAGGCCUCCAGAAGCUCCAGUGCAUAGCGGACGGCUAAAGCGUGCGGAGAAUGUUAAGAGAGGGCAGGGUCGACCGAUUUUGACAAGGGAGGAGUCCGUUAAGAGAGACCUGAAGGAUUGGAGUAUCGACAAAGAGCUAGCUAUGGACAGGGGUGCGUGGAAGCUUGCUAUCCAUGUGCCAGAGCCAUGA